GUGGGGAAUAUUGGACAAUGGGCGAAAGCCUGAUCCAGCCAUGCCGCGUGUGUGAAGAAGGUCUUCGGAUUGUAAAGCACUUUAAGUUGGGAGGAAGGGCAGUAAGUUAAUACCUUACUGUUUUGACGUUACCGACAGAAUAAGCACCGGCUAACUUCGUGCCAGCAGCCGCGGUAAUACGAAGGGUGCAAGCGUUAAUCGGAAUUACUGGGCGUAAAGCGCGCGUAGGUGGUUCAGCAAGUUGGAGGUGAAAUCCCCGGGCUCAACCUGGGAACUGCCUCAAAAACUGCAUGACUAGAGUACGGUAGAGGGUAGUGGAAUUUCCUGUGUAGCGGUGAAAUGCGUAGAUAUAGGAAGGAACACCAGUGGCGAAGGCGACUACCUGGACUGAUACUGACACUGAGGUGCGAAAGCGUGGGGAGCAAACAGGAUUAGAAACCCUGGUAGUCC
This 450-nucleotide ribosomal RNA is filed under the name uncultured bacterium. RNAcentral describes it as "partial 16S ribosomal RNA". It matches the Rfam family "Bacterial small subunit ribosomal RNA", at positions 354 to 796 of the family's 1533-position model. The record is from RNAcentral.